Molecule: ribosomal RNA, 460 nt
Filed under: uncultured bacterium
Lineage: Bacteria
Description: partial 16S ribosomal RNA
Rfam family: Bacterial small subunit ribosomal RNA
Source: RNAcentral
CCUACGGGAGGCAGCAGUGAGGAAUAUUGGUCAAUGGACGAGAGUCUGAACCAGCCAAGUAGCGUGAAGGAUGACUGCCCUAUGGGUUGUAAACUUCUUUUAUAAAGGAAUAAAACGAGGCACGUGUGCCUUUUUGCAUGUACUUUAUGAAUAAGGAUCGGCUAACUCCGUGCCAGCAGCCGCGGUAAUACGGAGGAUCCGAGCGUUAUCCGGAUUUAUUGGGUUUAAAGGGAGCGUAGAUGGGUUGAUAAGUCAGUGGUGAAAGUUUGCGGCUCAACCGUAAAAUUGCAAUUGAUACUGGAAGUCUUGAGUACAGUUGAGGUAGGCGGAAUGCGUGGUGUAGCGGUGAAAUGCUUAGAUAUCACGAAGAACCCCGAUUGCGAAGGCAGCUUACUAAACUGUGACUGACAUUGAUGCUCGAAAGUGUGGGUAUCAAACAGGAUUAGAUACCCGAGUAGUC